UACUUUGUAUUUAGUUCUGGUAACCAAACCCUUUUCCGGGAGCGGUUUUAAUAGGGAAUCUCGUGAAAAUCGAGAGCUGUCCCCGCAACUGUAAGCAAGCCAGAUUUCUUACCAACCCCUGCCACUGUAAGCCUUGUGUUCACGGGAAGGCGGUAAGAAAGAAGCAAGCCAGGAGACCUGCCAGAAAGCCUCAAAUAAC
Molecule: non-coding RNA, 199 nt
Filed under: marine bacterium AO1-C
Lineage: Bacteria; Pseudomonadati; Bacteroidota; Cytophagia; Cytophagales; Cytophagaceae
Also listed under: 1 other name
Source: RNAcentral